Molecule: ribosomal RNA, 186 nt
Filed under: uncultured bacterium
Lineage: Bacteria
Description: partial 16S ribosomal RNA
Rfam family: Bacterial small subunit ribosomal RNA
Source: RNAcentral
CUGCAACUCGCCUGCACGAAGCCGGAGUUGCUAGUAAUCGCGGAUCAGAAUGCCGCGGUGAAUGCGUUCCCGGGUCUUGUACACACCGCCCGUCACACCAUGGAAGUUGGGGGUGCCCAAAGCCGGCAGGGAAAUAUGCUGUCUAAGGCAAAACCAAUGACUGGGGUGAAGUCGUAACAAGGUAAC